UAUCAUGUGUAUACAUAUAUAUUAAUAAAACUAAUAAUUGAGGAGUCAUAUAGGGUUCACUCUCUGUGUCCUGUUUUGUUUUAUAGCUACAAGAAACUGGCUGAGAAUAAAGAAACUGAAUUUGUUAACAAUUUACCCCUUAAGAUGAAUCCAAAUGUUAUGUCUCAAGAAACAAAAUGUGAACCAAUUUUUGGACAAAAAUGAAGAGCAUAUAGUUUUACAAAAGUCACCAAUGAAGUGAAGUAGCUUUGAAGAAUCAAACAAAAAUCAAAGGUGGUUGCAGUUUGAGGAAACAUCGGAUCCUGUCACUGAAGAAAAAGCAAAGCAAAUCCAAAAAGAAAUAGGAACAAGAGACACUUCUUCAGGGAUGUCAACAGUAGUAGCCUAAGCCUACAGCCUGCCAAUAAGAAGCAUUUUCACUGCAGGGAUGCCCAGAGAAAGUGUUAACCACAUCAGAGAUGGCAGCAUUUACUACAAAUGGGGUAGCACUGAUUUUGCAGGACACACGGCCCUAGAGUUAUUGAGAGCCAUCCAGACCCUCCGCCUGCUGUUCUGCACUUGCUGCGCGGAGCGUGCACUUUAAGGAACAGACCUGAAUAUCAAGAAAGAGAAAACCGGUUUAUUGGAAGACCUCAAAAGACUGAAGCAAGACAAGCAAGCUCUUGAAGCAGACUUGGGAAAAAUGAAGACAGAGACCAAGCCAGAGAGCAGGUGCAUGCACCUCAUGGAGCACGCCGAGCUGGGAUAGUCACUUUAUACUCGUAACUGUUCUGAACUUGAGUCAAUAACUGCAAGAUUGAAGAAACUCAAAGAUUAUUUUGAAUUCGUGGCACUGCGUGCACAGUUGUUUGCAGUCCUCCCAGCCAGACGGUGACCUUCCAGGGCCUGGUCUCCCUUUUUAUCCCUGGGCCUGAAAUGUAAGCUCUCAAGUGUUUAACAAAUGAAAAGACAACACCAUGCUGUGUUUGUAGAAGACUGAAAGGUGAAUAUUGCAUUCCCCACCGGGGAAAACAAAGGAGGAGUUAGAUAAGAAUGCAGGAAAGUUUAAUAUUAAAAAAAUUAGAAAUAAACAGAAGGGUACUAGUAAGGGUUUCAGGGAGGAGAAGAGUUUGAGCUGAGUCCUGGCAGGUGGAGGGCCUUGGGAGGAGAGGAGGGAGGCCACCCAGCUGUGUCUCAUGGGCGUGUCACUGAGCGCACCUGUCCUGGGCCAGAGGCGGGCCAGGCACAGGGCCAGAAAGGUCGAUCUGCAGAGCCCUUGUUUGCCAAAGGAAGUAUCUUUUCUCUGUGAUUUUAUGAUCUUCAGUGUAACAUACGUACAAAUAAAAUCCACUAACCUGUUUGUAAGAA
Molecule: long non-coding RNA, 1347 nt
Organism: Camelus dromedarius (Arabian camel)
Lineage: Eukaryota; Metazoa; Chordata; Mammalia; Artiodactyla; Camelidae
Exons: 5
Source: RefSeq, a predicted model, not a curated record